RNAcentral lists this ribosomal RNA (324 nucleotides) under uncultured eukaryote. RNAcentral describes it as "partial 18S ribosomal RNA". It matches the Rfam family "Eukaryotic small subunit ribosomal RNA", at positions 1470 to 1796 of the family's 1831-position model. The record is from RNAcentral.
CCCUUAGAUGCUCUGGGCCGCACGCGCGCUACACUGGUCGAUGCAACGAGUUUCUUUCCUUGGCCGACAGGCCUGGGCAAUCUUUGAACAUCGAUCGUGAUCGGGAUAGAUUCUUGUAAUUUUUGAUCUUAAACGAGGAAUUCCUAGUAAACGCAAGUCAUCAGCUUGCAUUGAUUACGUCCCUGCCCUUUGUACACACCGCCCGUCGCACCUACCGAUUGAAUGGUCCGGUGAAAUCUCCGGACUGGCGUGAGUCGGAGCAAUCUGACAAACACCGGAAAGUUGAUUAAACCUUACCAUUUAGAGGAAGGCGAAGUCGUAACA